This 1131-nucleotide ribosomal RNA is filed under the name Triticum aestivum (bread wheat). RNAcentral's name for it is "partial small subunit ribosomal RNA". The record is from RNAcentral. Lineage: Eukaryota; Viridiplantae; Streptophyta; Magnoliopsida; Poales; Poaceae.
AUGGCAUCUCAUGGAGCUUCGGGCUCCUCGGGGAUCAGCGACGUGGAGAAGAUGAUGGAGGAGUUGGGAUUGCGCGAGGAGGACCUGGAUGACGUCGUUUACGAUGAGAAGGAGGCACCAGAGGAGGGCGCUAGAUGGAUUGCGCUGGCCAAAGUCAACACCACCAAAACCUAUAGCCAGACAUGGUUUUUCAGGAACAUGCGUUCAGCAUGGGACGCAGCCCAGGAGGUGAAGUUCAAACCUUUAGAGGACAAUCUGUAUACUGUCAAGUUCUCGUGCUUAGGAGAUUGGGAGAGGACAAUUGACAUAUGGAUUCAGAUCCAUGAUGUGCCAGAGCUGUACGCCCAUCUUGUUGGUCCAUUGGCUGCAAAAGUGGGCGAGGUCCUAUUCGUGGAAGCUAGCUCGGCCGAUUUUCGAGGGAAUUUUUACAGGGUCUGGAUCAGGCUGAACAUCCUCAAACCAUUGAAGAACGCUGUCUCCAUGAUUCGUGAUGGUAAGAGACAGAUAUAUAAAGUGAAAUAUGAACGACUCCCCGACUGGUGCGCGGUGUGUGGCAUGCUAGGUCAUUUGUUUAAGGAACACGGUACUGGGAUCCAUCCGCCAUCGGCGCUCGUCUUUAAGGACCUCCGUGCAAACUGGUUUAUGCGUGCGGGAAUAGGACCGGGUGAAGGCCGAGCCAGAAGGGGCGGCAGAAGGGGAGGUAGAGGAGGCCGUCCAGGGGGUCGGUAUGCAGAGGAGGAGGAUAUGGGAUCAUAUGGGAAGAGAGAGGGACACAAGGACAAUCUGGAAGAGUUGGCUGUUUCAAGUUGUGACGUUGACAUGGAAGAACAGAGCAGGAAGAGGUUGGAGAGACAAGAACGUGAGAGGGAUUCGGGGACCUCGGAAACUGAGAAGCAGGAAGCCUCAAAAGGCAACCAACUAGCUAUUAUUCCAGCAGGCUGCACAUUGGGAAGUCCACCGCCACAGAGAGAGACAAAGAGGAGCAAGAUGGAAGAGGAAAAUAAGGAUGGAUCUACUUCUGCUGUUUUCUGGCGCCAAUGCGCACGCGAAUAUGGGCCGUCCCAUCAGGCGCGCAAGCGAUCGCUCGCCCAGGGCGCACCUGGAUUGCUCGUUCAACAGUUGAACAGUUGA